UAAUGAGAGUUUGAUCCUGGCUCAGGACGAACGCUGGCGGCGUGCCUAAUACAUGCAAGUAGAACGCUGAAGGAGGAGCUUGCUCUUCUGGAUGAGUUGCGAACGGGUGAGUAACGCGUAGGUAACCUGCCUGGUAGCGGGGGAUAACUAUUGGAAACGAUAGCUAAUACCGCAUAACAUUGACUAUUGCAUGAUAGUUAAUUGAAAGGUGCAAAUGCACCACUACCAGAUGGACCUGCGUUGUAUUAGCUAGUUGGUGGGGUAACGGCUCACCAAGGCGACGAUACAUAGCCGACCUGAGAGGGUGAUCGGCCACACUGGGACUGAGACACGGCCCAGACUCCUACGGGAGGCAGCAGUAGGGAAUCUUCCGCAAUGGGCGAAAGCCUGACGGAGCAACGCCGCGUGAGUGAUGAAGGUCUUCGGAUCGUAAAACUCUGUUAUUAGGGAAGAACAAAUGUGUAAGUAACUAUGCACGUCUUGACGGUACCUAAUCAGAAAGCCACGGCUAACUACGUGCCAGCAGCCGCGGUGAUACGUAGGGUGCGAGCGUUGUCCGGAAUUACUGGGCGUAAAGAGCUCGUAGGUGGUUUGUCGCGUCGUCUGUGAAAUCCCGGGGCUUAACUCCGGGCGUGCAGGCGAUACGGGCAUAACUUGAGUACUGUAGGGGUAACUGGAAUUCCUGGUGUAGCGGUGGAAUGCGCAGAUAUCAGGAGGAACACCGAUGGCGAAGGCAGGUCUCUGGGCUGUAACUGACGCUGAGGAGCGAAAGCAUGGGGAGCGAACAGGAUUAGAUACCCUGGUAGUCCACGCCGUAAACGAUGAGUGCUAGGUGUUGGGUCCUUUCCGGGACUCAGUGCCGCAGCUAACGCAUUAAGCACUCCGCCUGGGGAGUACGACCGCAAGGUUGAAACUCAAAGGAAUUGACGGGGGCCCGCACAAGCGGUGGAGCAUGUGGUUUAAUUCGAAACAACGCGAAGAACCUUACCAGGUCUUGACAUCCCUCUGACCGCUCUAGAGAUAGAGUUUUCCUUCGGGACAGAGGUGACAGGUGGUGCAUGGUUGU
This 1066-nucleotide ribosomal RNA is filed under the name Aurantiochytrium limacinum. RNAcentral's name for it is "partial Bacterial small subunit ribosomal RNA". It matches the Rfam family "Bacterial small subunit ribosomal RNA", at positions 1 to 1052 of the family's 1533-position model. The record is from RNAcentral. Lineage: Eukaryota; Bigyra; Thraustochytrida; Thraustochytriidae.